GAAGACAUAAUUCGAGUUACUACUCAACAGUCACGAUUGUGGUGUUUGUGGGUCUCUGCUUGGUUGGGGCAUGGAUGAUGACAUCGUCAUCUGUGGUUCCUGGUCAAAAUGUAGACGUUCCUGCUCAGGAAAACAAGAAUGAGGUGAAACAACAAGUGACUGAGAGCAAUGAAAUCAACACUAAGCAAUUUGAAGAUAACCCAGGUGAUUUGCCUGAGGAUGCAACAAAAGGUGACAACAGUAUGCCCGAAGAGAAGCCCGAGGAGAAGCCAGAGGAGAAGCCCGAAGAGAAGCCAGAGGAGAAGCCAGAUGCAACAAAAGGUGACGACAGUGUGCCUGAAGAGAAGCCCGAGGAGAAGCCAGAAGAGAAGCCCGAGGAGAAGCCAGUAGAGAAAACCGACGAAAAAUCU
RNAcentral lists this long non-coding RNA (410 nucleotides) under Populus trichocarpa (black cottonwood). RNAcentral describes it as "long non-coding RNA (PTRI_LNC001430)". The record is from RNAcentral. Lineage: Eukaryota; Viridiplantae; Streptophyta; Magnoliopsida; Malpighiales; Salicaceae.